Molecule: ribosomal RNA, 458 nt
Filed under: uncultured bacterium
Lineage: Bacteria
Description: partial 16S ribosomal RNA
Rfam family: Bacterial small subunit ribosomal RNA
Source: RNAcentral
CCUACGGGUGCAGCAGUGAGGAAUAUUGGUCAACGGGCGGGAGCCUGAACCAGCCAAGCCGCGUGAGGGAAGAAGGUACAGCGUAUCGUAAACCUCUUUUGUCAGGGAACAAAGGCGGGGACUAGUCCCCGGCUGACGGUACCUGAAGAAAAAGCAUCGGCUAAGUCCGUGCAAGCAGCGGCGGUAGUACGGGGGAUGCCAGCGUUAUCCGGAUUUAUUGGGUUAAAGGGGUGCGCAGGCGGCCUGUUAAGCCUGCGGUAAAAGCCCGGGGGUCAACCCCGGAGAGCCGUUGAAACUGGCGGGCUGGAGUUGGAGAGAAGUACGCGGAAUGCGCGGUGUAGCGGUGAAAUGCUUAGAUAUCGCGCAGAACCCCGAUUGCGAAGGCAGCGUACCGGGUCCAAACUGACGCUGAGGCACGAAAGCGUGGGUAUCGAACAGGAUUAGAUACCCCGGUAGUC